UGGGGAAUAUUGCACAAUGGGGGAAACCCUGAUGCAGCGACGCCGCGUGAGCGAUGAAGGCUUUCGAGUCGUAAAGCUCUGUCCUAUGGGAAGAUAAUGACGGUACCAUAGAAGAAAGCCCCGGCUAAUCACGUGCCAGCAGCCGCGGUAAUACGUAUGGACCGAGCGUUGUCCGGAAUCAUUGGGCGUAAAGGGUACGUAGGCGGCCCAGUAAGUUAGAAGUGAAAUAAUAUAGCUCAACUAUAUAAAGCUUUUAAAACUGCUAGGCUUGAGAGAUGGAAGGGAAAGUGGAAUUCCUAGUGUGGCGGUGAAAUGCGCAGAUAUUAGGAAGAAUACCGGUGGCGAAGGCGACUUUCUGGUCAUCAUCUGACGCUGAGGUACGAAAGCGUGGGUAGCAAACAGG
Molecule: ribosomal RNA, 403 nt
Filed under: Verrucomicrobiota bacterium
Lineage: Bacteria; Pseudomonadati; Verrucomicrobiota
Description: Verrucomicrobia bacterium partial 16S ribosomal RNA
Rfam family: Bacterial small subunit ribosomal RNA
Source: RNAcentral